UUAACGCUGAGGUGUGAUGACGAGGCACUACGGUGCUGAAGUGAUAAAUGCCCUGCUUCCAGGAAAAGCCUCUAAGCAUCAGGUAACACGAAAUCGUACCCCAAACCGACACAGGUGGUCAGGUAGAGAAUACCAAGGCGCUUGAGAGAACUCGGGUGAAGGAACUAGGCAAAAUGGUGCCGUAACUUCGGGAGAAGGCACGCUGAUGUGUAGGUGAAGUCCCUGCGGACGGAGCUGAAAUCAGUCGAAGAUACCAGCUGGCUGCAACUGUUUAUUAAAAACACAGCACUGUGCAAACACGAAAGUGGACGUAUACGGUGUGACGCCUGCCCGGUGCCGGAAGGUUAAUUGAUGGGGUUAGCGGCAACGCGAAGCUCUUGAUCGAAGCCCCGGUAAACGGCGGCCGUAACUAUAACGGUCCUAAGGUAGCGAAAUUCCUUGUCGGGUAAGUUCCGACCUGCACGAAUGGCGUAAUGAUGGCCAGGCUGUCUCCACCCGAGACUCAGUGAAAUUGAACUCGCUGUGAAGAUGCAGUGUACCCGCGGCAAGACGGAAAGACCCCGUGAACCUUUACUAUAGCUUGACACUGAACACUGGUCCUUGAUGUGUAGGAUAGGUGGGAGGCUUUGAAGCGUGGACGCCAGUCUGCGUGGAGCCAACCUUGAAAUACCACCCUUUAAUGGCUGGUGUUCUAACGUAGACCCGUAAUCCGGGUUGCGGACAGUGUCUGGUGGGUAGUUUGACUGGGGCGGUCUCCUCCCAAAGAGUAACGGAGGAGCACGAAGGUUGGCUAAUCCUGGUCGGACAUCAGGAGGUUAGUGCAAUGGCAUAAGCCAGCUUGACUGCGAGCGUGACGGCGCGAGCAGGUGCGAAAGCAGGUCAUAGUGAUCCGGUGGUUCUGAAUGGAAGGGCCAUCGCUCAACGGAUAAAAGGUACUCCGGGGAUAACAGGCUGAUACCGCCCAAGAGUUCAUAUCGACGGCGGUGUUUGGCACCUCGAUGUCGGCUCAUCACAUCCUGGGGCUGAAGUAGGUCCCAAGGGUAUGGCUGUUCGCCAUUUAAAGUGGUACGCGAGCUGGGUUUAGAACGUCGUGAGACAGUUCGGUCCCUAUCUGCCGUGGGCGCUGGAGAAUUGAGGGGGGCUGCUCCUAGUACGAGAGGACCGGAGUGGACGCAUCACUGGUGUUCGGGUUGUCAUGCCAAUGGCACUGCCCGGUAGCUAAAUGCGGAAGAGAUAAGUGCUGAAAGCAUCUAAGCACGAAACUUGCCCCGAGAUGAGUUCUCCCUGAGACCUUGAGUCUCCUGAAGGAACGUUGAAGACGACGACGUUGAUAGGUCGGGUGUGUAAGCGCAGCGAUGCGUUGAGCUAACCGAUACUAAUGAACCGUGAGGCUUAACCUU
Molecule: ribosomal RNA, 1400 nt
Filed under: Enterobacter hormaechei
Lineage: Bacteria; Pseudomonadati; Pseudomonadota; Gammaproteobacteria; Enterobacterales; Enterobacteriaceae
Description: partial 23S ribosomal RNA
Rfam family: Bacterial large subunit ribosomal RNA
Source: RNAcentral